UACCGCGUGAGGGAUGACGGCCUGUGGGUUGUAAACCUCUUUUCUCAAGGAAGAAGUUCUGACGGUACUUGAGGAAUAAGCAUCGGCUAACUCUGUGCCAGCAGCCGCGGUAAU
RNAcentral lists this ribosomal RNA (114 nucleotides) under uncultured eukaryote. RNAcentral describes it as "partial 16S ribosomal RNA". It matches the Rfam family "Bacterial small subunit ribosomal RNA", at positions 395 to 524 of the family's 1533-position model. The record is from RNAcentral.